UAGAGCUAGGCUGGUAUACUAUCGGUAGAACGGAGGCCUCCGUACUACCAAGUUGUUUUCAAUGAUGCGGCUUCCAAAUCAACAAUCGGCUCCGUUAGACUUAAUCUACACUAUUGAAAGUAUUUGGAAACUAAAUUUUAUAAUUUUUCAGUAUCAUUUACCUAUCAAACGAGUAGUCUAAAAAUGAACGGCUGAAAAUAAAAAUCUCAUAAAAAAUAAUGAUAGAAGACUUGAAUUUAAGAUUAGAGGUACUAAUUUUACUCUAAAUAGUAAAAAAAAUCUUUUAUAAAAAAUUCAUCUAAUUUGGAUUGUUUUACACUGUUAAAUUUACAAAUAUAUCACAUCUACCAUUAAAAUUGUCAAUUUUGAGACCUUUGGAUCACUAGCCAAAUGAUGUCGAAAAAUUAUAAAAUUUACUUUCCAAGUAUUUUUAAUUGUGUAGAUCAAGUCUAACAGAGCCCAUCGUCGAUUUGGAUGCCGCAUCAUUGUAAACAACUUGGUAGCACGGAGGCCUCCGUGCUACCGAUAGUAUACCAGCCUAGCGCUCUCUCUCUCUCUCUCUCUCUCUCUCUCUCUCUCUCUCUCUAUAUAUAUAUAUAUAUAUAUAUAUAUAUAUAUAUAUA
This 623-nucleotide long non-coding RNA is filed under the name Ananas comosus (pineapple). RNAcentral describes it as "long non-coding RNA (ACOM_LNC023172)". The record is from RNAcentral. Lineage: Eukaryota; Viridiplantae; Streptophyta; Magnoliopsida; Poales; Bromeliaceae.